UGGGGAAUAUUGGACAAUGGUCGCAAGCCUGAUCCAGCCAUGCCGCGUGCGUGAAGAAGGCCUUAGGGUUGUAAAGCGCUUUCAGCGGGGACGAUGAUGACCGUACCCGCAUAAGAAGCCCCGGCUAACUCCGUGCCAGCAGGCGCGGUAAUAGGGAGGGGGCAAGCGUUGUUCGGAAUUACUGGGCGUAAAGGGCGCGUAGGCGGCACAUCAAGUCAGAGGUGAAAGCCCCGGGCUCAACCUGGGAAUUGCCUUUGAAACUGAUGAGCUAGAGUCCGGAAGAGGAUAGCGGAAUUCCCAGUGUAGAGGUGAAAUUCGUAGAUAUUGGGAAGAACACCAGUGGCGAAGGCGGCUAUCUGGUCCGGUACUGACGCUGAGGCGCGAAAGCGUGGGGAGCAAACAGGAUUAGAUACCCCCGUAGUCC
This 424-nucleotide ribosomal RNA is filed under the name uncultured prokaryote. RNAcentral describes it as "bacterial SSU rRNA". It matches the Rfam family "Bacterial small subunit ribosomal RNA", at positions 355 to 796 of the family's 1533-position model. The record is from RNAcentral.